Molecule: ribosomal RNA, 253 nt
Filed under: uncultured bacterium
Lineage: Bacteria
Description: partial 16S ribosomal RNA
Rfam family: Bacterial small subunit ribosomal RNA
Source: RNAcentral
UACGUAGGGGGCAAGCGUUGUCCGGAAUUAUUGGGCGUAAAGAGCGUGUAGGCGGCCAGGUAGGUCAGCUGUGAAAACUCGAGGCUCAACCUCGAGACGCCGGUUGAAACCAUCUGGCUAGAGUCCGGAAGAGGAGAGUGGAAUUCCUGGUGUAGCGGUGAAAUGCGCAGAUAUCAGGAAGAACACCCGUGGCUAAGGCGGCUCUCUAGUACGGUACUGACGCUGAGACGCGAAAGCGUGGGGAGCGAACAGG